GAACUGUGCAAACGUUAUUCGGAAUCACUGGGGCUUAAAGGGGUGCGUAGGCGGCAAUGCAAGUCAGGUGUGAAAUCCCACGGCUCAACCGUGGGAAUUGCGCUUGAAACUGCAUAGCUUGAGGAAGUCAGAGGAGAGCGGAACUGAUGGUGGAGCGGUGAAAUGCGUUGAUAUUAUCAGGAACACCGGUGGCGAAAGCGGCUCUCUGGGACUUUUCUGACGCUGAGGCACGAAAGCUAGGGGAGCGAACGGGAUUAGAUACCCCGGUAGUCCUAGCUGUAAACGAUGAGCACUAGUCUGUGGCGACUCCCACAUCGUCUCGGACGUAGCGAAAGUGUUAAGUGCUCCGCCUGGGGAGUAUGGUCGCAAAGGCUG
RNAcentral lists this ribosomal RNA (375 nucleotides) under uncultured organism. RNAcentral describes it as "partial 16S ribosomal RNA". It matches the Rfam family "Bacterial small subunit ribosomal RNA", at positions 527 to 896 of the family's 1533-position model. The record is from RNAcentral.